UUAGAGGUUGGACUCGAUGAUCUUGAGGUCUCUUCCAACCUAGAAAUUCUGUGAUUCUGUGAUUCUGUGAUUCUGUGACUUCAUUUCCUGUUUUUACUAUGGUUCCCAUGUAGCUGUGGCCAAGGCACUUAAACCAUGUCUACAAAAGGACUGGAUUGUUGCAACAUUUCACCAGAGCUGAGUUUUGAAGGGUAGUAUAAUGCUUUGUAUUCUGAAAUUCAUCAUCAGUUGGAUGAAGGGAAUAAGUGGACUGUGCAUGCCAAUGUUGCCCCACAAUUUGACAGCUUGCAGAGUUCAGUCAACAGCAAAGAAGGAAGAGUUUGUACUUGCAGGAAACUCUAUGAAAAUAUUAAUUUAAUUUGUGAAGAAGAGAGUGAAGUGAGGUGAAGCGAAGCGAAGAGAAGAGGUCUGAUCAAACUGAACUGAAAAACUGAAGAAAGAUGGACUAACUUCUGUAACUCAUUUUGCUUCAUAACAAGUUGUCACUGUUGUUGUUUUCUAGACCUUAGUGAUAAAAUAGGAGUUUAAGUCAUUAUUGUCCUUAACUAUCUGUUAUGAAUCAUUUGAUGCAUGAUUAUAUCCUCUUUGCAAAAAGGCAACUUA
This 603-nucleotide long non-coding RNA is filed under the name Anas platyrhynchos platyrhynchos (common mallard). RNAcentral describes it as "lncRNA (ENSAPLG00000019601.1)". The record is from RNAcentral. Lineage: Eukaryota; Metazoa; Chordata; Aves; Anseriformes; Anatidae.